CAAUAAGCGGAGGAAAAGAAACCAACAGGGAUUGCCCUAGUAACGGCGAGUGAAGCGGCAACAGCUCAAAUUUGAAAUCUGGCUCUUUUAGGGUCCGAGUUGUAAUUUGCAGAGGGCGCUUUGGCGUUGGCAGCGGUCCAAGUUCUUUGGAACAGGACGUCACAGAGGGUGAGAAUCCCGUACGUGGUCGCUAUCCUUCGCCGUGUAAAGCCCCUUCGACGAGUCGAGUUGUUUGGGAAUGCAGCUCUAAAUGGGAGGUAAAUUUCUUCUAAAGCUAAAUAUUGGCCAGAGACCGAUAGCGCACAAGUAGAGUGAUCGAAAGAUGAAAAGCACUUUGGAAAGAGAGUCAAAUAGCACGUGAAAUUGUUGAAAGGGAAGCGCUUGCAGCCAGACUUGCCUGUAGUUGCUUAUCCGGACUUUUGUCCGGUGCACUCUUCUAUAGGCAGGCCAGCAUCAGUUUAGGCGGUUAGAUAAAGGUCUCUGUCACGUACCUCUCUUCGGGGAGGCCUUAUAGGGGAGACGACAUGUAACCAGCUUAGACUGAGGUCCGCGCAUCUGCUAGGAUGCUGGCGUAAUGGCUGUAAGCGGCCCGUCUUGAAACACGGACCAAGGAGUCUAACAUCUAUGCGAGUGUUUGGGUGUCAAGCCCAGACGCGUAAUGAAAGUGAACGGAGGUAGGAACCCUUUGGGUGCACUAUCGACCGAUCCUGAUGUCUUCGGAAGGAUUUGAGUAAGAGCAUGGCUGUUGGGACCCGAAAGAUGGUGAACUAUGCUUGAAUAGGGUGAAGCCAGAGGAAACUCUGGUGGAGGCUCGCAGCGGUUCUGACGUGCAAAUCGAUCGUCAAAUUUGGGCAUAGGGGCGAAAGACUAAU
Molecule: ribosomal RNA, 872 nt
Filed under: Pseudoophiobolus mathieui
Lineage: Eukaryota; Fungi; Ascomycota; Dothideomycetes; Pleosporales; Phaeosphaeriaceae
Description: eukaryotic LSU rRNA
Rfam family: Eukaryotic large subunit ribosomal RNA
Source: RNAcentral